This 26-nucleotide small nuclear RNA is filed under the name Arabidopsis thaliana (thale cress). Its description in RNAcentral is "snRNA_15117". The record is from RNAcentral. Lineage: Eukaryota; Viridiplantae; Streptophyta; Magnoliopsida; Brassicales; Brassicaceae.
UUGUCCUUCACGUAUGUUAACCGACU